RNAcentral lists this ribosomal RNA (379 nucleotides) under uncultured bacterium SY5-25. RNAcentral's name for it is "bacterial SSU rRNA". It matches the Rfam family "Bacterial small subunit ribosomal RNA", at positions 8 to 385 of the family's 1533-position model. The record is from RNAcentral. Lineage: Bacteria; Pseudomonadati; Pseudomonadota; Betaproteobacteria; Burkholderiales; Alcaligenaceae.
AGAGUUUGAUCAUGGCUCAGAUUGAACGCUGGCGGCAUGCCUUACACAUGCAAGUCGAACGGACAGCACAGGGGCAACCCUGGGUGGCGAGUGGCGAACAGGUGAGUAAUACAUCGGAACGUGUCCUAUCGUGGGGGAUAACCAGAACGAAAGACUGGCUAAUACCGCAUGAGAUCGAGAGAUGAAAGCAGGGGACCGCAAGGCCUUGCGCGAUUGGAGCGGCCGAUAUCGGAUUAGCUAGUUAGGCGGGGUAAAAGCCCACCAAGGCUACAAUCCGUAGCUGGUUUGAGAGAACGACCAGCCACACUGGGACUGAGACACGGCCCAGACUCCUACGGGAGGCAGCAGUGGGGAAUAUUGGACAAUGGGGGCAACCUGG